GCACAGUGGGAAGAAACAGGCUGUGGAGGCUUCCCAGGGUUGGGUUUCUGACAAAACUAUUCCUGGAACAUGACACAGGAGCAGGUCGACCAGAUGCAUUGGAGGCCUUUCCUGCCAGAGCACACUGUCAUCAUGUGAUCAUAAACUUCUUAAAAGAUUGUUAUGUUUGGGACAGCAAAGGACAGAAGAGUCGAGAUGGAAAGAGGGAGAAGGGAAUAUACAAGAUAGAGAACAGCUUCAAAGCAAGGAGCAUACCCAGGUGGAGGGAGGAAUUUGAAUUCUCCAUGGCGGCCUCCAAGUAGGAAACGUACCCUAUUAAGAACAGAAACAAUAUAUGCAAUCACAACCCAAAAGAGAAGCUGACAACUGGAAAGAAGAGCCCAUCUAUGUUGAAAUUCUCAAACAUUCCUUGAACUGGCUGACCAUUAAUCCGGAAUGAGAUGCUUGGGGCACUCAGAUCUAAGCAGCAGCUGACCACAUCAUC
This is a long non-coding RNA of Alligator sinensis (Chinese alligator), 484 nucleotides long. RefSeq lists it as uncharacterized. The transcript is spliced from 3 exons. NCBI's taxonomy places the organism in Eukaryota, Metazoa, Chordata, Crocodylia, Alligatoridae. The record is from RefSeq and is a predicted model, not a curated record.